This is a non-coding RNA of Pocillopora verrucosa, 271 nucleotides long. Lineage: Eukaryota; Metazoa; Cnidaria; Anthozoa; Scleractinia; Pocilloporidae. The record is from RefSeq and is a predicted model, not a curated record.
ACUGAAGCUGACCGGAAGUAAAAAUACCAAAAUGAUUACCACAGCGCAUGAUCGUGACGUAAACAAGUCGCGUCCUUGCUCAAGACGAACGCGCUGGACAGCAUUUUCACGUUGUCAACAAACUGCUCACUCAUAUUUCUGAACAGACAAGACAAGACAGUUCUCAUGGCCUCAAACACCAAACCGCAGAUUAUGAACUGGACGGAGGAACAUGAUUCCAUUUUUUGCCGAGAAAUAAUCUUUGUAAACCCAUUCAGUGCCAAGAGGAAAU